AUAUUAUAAAAUAUUAAAAAACAGUUAAGUAACCUUAUUUCAUAUCCCCUUCCAAAGUUGUUAUACAGAGAGAGAAGAUGCCAUUUGCACUGAAGUGAACCAUGACAACAGUAACCAGAAUGUCACUUCCACAAGAAAAUCACUUCCUUUAACAGUUUAAUUUAUUCUACCAUGAUCUGUGCUCUUGUACUUAAAUACCAAGAAGAGCUAUAAUGUGGGUUAGGUUUGAUUUACAUGCAAGCUAAUCAGAAAGCAGGUAAGAUGGUAGCUGUGUUUUGCGGUGGCAAUUUUUUUAACAUUUUUUUUAAAUCGCUCAAAAUAUCCAAUAUUGACAGAAAGGGGGCCAUUCUGAAAUAGGGCCAUAGCAUGAACUACUAAAAGAAAGUGUGUUCACCGUUGCAGUAGGCUAGGCCCUACAUCUUAUGAGCCAAUGCAUCAUGUCAAGAAAGCACUCACUGGACCAUUUCAAUUGGCUUUUGUGUCUCUCUCUCCCGUCCCUGCUACGGCCCCAGGUAUCUACACUAGAGUGCAUCACUCUGCCACUCUGCCUGAGCUCCAUUUCAUUCUUCCUAUAUGUCCAAACCGUCACUGAACUAAGAGGUCACAUUCAUUCUGUUGUUUAAUUCUUCCCCUUUUCUUCAGAAGACUGAAAUACCUCGCUAAAAUCCUGUUAUGAAAUGUUUAUAAAAGUAUCUCUUAUGAUUAUAAGAACUUGACUAAUGUUCACAAAAGUAAAUCCCUUACAACAGAAUGGGGAUAAAACGUCAAAUUAUAUAUAAAAUUGUAUUUGUCACAUUCGUCGACUACAACAAAGUGUAGUUGUUGUCGGCGCAUGUGAAAUGCUUACUUAUGAGCCCUUACCUAAAAAAUGCAGAGUUAAAAAGUAAGAAAAAUGUGCAAAAGAUGUAAAAGGUAAUAGUAACACAAUAAAAUACCAAUAACGAGACUAUAGACAUAGAGUAGCGGUAUCGAAUCAGUGUGCAGGGGUACGAGGUAGUUGAAGAAAUUGAGAUGAUAUGUACAUGUAGUUAGGAGUCAAAGUGACUCGGCAAUCAGGAUAGAUAAUAAACAGAGUAGCAGCACCGUAUGUGAAGAGCGUGAAAGUGUGUCUAUGUGUGGCGUGCCUGUGUGUGAUGUCAAUAUUCAUGUUUGUGUGUGUAAGCGUAUGUAGUGUUUCUAUGUGUGUGUUGGGGUGUCAGUGUAGUAUGUGUGAGGGUAGAGUCCAGUGAGUGUGCAUAGAGCCGGUGCAUAGAGCCAGUGCAUAGCAUAGAGCCGGUGCAAAUACAAAGGGGUCAAUGCAAAUAGUCAGGGUAGCCAUGGUAGUUGUCCUGGCACCACACUGCCAGUUCUCCGACCUCCUCUCUAUAGUCGUGCACGACCAUGCAGUCGUGGGUGAACAGGGAGUACAGGAGGGGACUAAGCACGCACCCCUGAGGGUCCCGUGUUGAGGGUCAGCGUGGCGGAUGUGUUGUUGCCUACCCUCACCACCUGGGGGCAUCCUGUCAGGAAGUCCAGGAUCCAGUUGCAGAGGGAGGUGUUCAUGGUGUUGGGCACUAUGGUGUUGAACACUGAGCUGUAGUCAAUGUACAGCAUUCUCACAUAGGUUUUCCUUUUGUCCAGGUGGGAAAGGGCAGUGUGGAAGGAGCAGUAUGCAAAUUGCAGUGGGUCUGGAUGAUGGUGUUGAUGUGAUCCAUGAUCAGCGUUUCAAAGCCUUUCAUGGCUACAGAUGUGAGUGCUACGGGUUUAGACAGGUUACCUUGCCGUUCUUGGGCAUAAGGACUGUGGUGGUCUGCUUGAAACAUGCAGGUAUUACAGACUGGGUCAGGGAGAGGUUGCAUGCUCUGAGUAUGCGUCCUGGUAAUCCAUCUGUUAACCUGAAUGUUAACCUGUUUAAAAGGUGUUAGUCACAUCGGCUACAGAGAGCGUGAUCACACAGUCAUCAGGAACAACUGGUGCUCUUGUGCAUGGUUAAGUGUUGCUAGCCUCGAAGCAAACAUAGAAAGCAUUUAGCUUGUCUGGUAGUCUCGCAUCACUGGGCAGUUUGCGGCUUUGCGGCUUUGUAAUCCGUGAUAGUUUGCAAUCCCUGCCACAUCAGCGUCAGAGCCAAUGUAGUAGGAAUCGAUUUUAGUCUGGUAUUGACGCUUAGCCUGUUUGAUGGUUCGGAGGGCAUAGCGGGAUUUCUUAUAAGUGUCCGGAUUAGUGUCCCGCUCCUUGAAAGUGGCAACUCUAGCCUUUAGCUCAAUUCAAAUGUUGCCUGUAAUCCAUGGCUUCUGGUGGAGAUACGUACGGUCACUGUGGGGACGAUGUCGUCGAUGCACUUAUUAAUGAAGCCAGUGACUGAUGCGGUAAACUCUUCAAUGUCUUUGGAUGCAUCCCUGAACAUAUUGGAGUCUGUACUAGUGAAACAGUCCUGUAGUUUAACAUCUGCUUCAUUGGACCACUUCCGUAUUAAGCGCAUCUCUGGUACUUCCUGUUUGCGUUUUUGCUUGUAUGCAGGAAUCAGGAGGAUAGAGUUAUGGUCAGAUUUGGCAAAUGGAGGGCGAGGGAGAGCCUUGUAUGUGUCUCUGUGUGUGGAGUAAAGGUGGUCUAGGUUCAUAUCAAUAGUGUGGAGUAAAGGUGGUCUAGGUUCAUAUCAAUAGUGUGGAGUAAAGGUGGUCUAGGUUCAUAUCAAUAGCGUGGAGUAAAGGUGGUCUAGGUUCAUAUCAAUAGUGUGGAGUAAAGGUGGUCUAGGUUCAUAUCAAUAGCGUGGAUUAAAGGUGGUCUAGGUUCAUAUCAAUAGCGUGGAGUAAAGGUGGUCUAGGUUCAUAUCAAUAGUUGUAUAGGAGUAAAAGUCGCCUUGUUUAAUUUGGAAAGACUUUGAGGUGCUUUCGGUGGCUUAAUCCUUCCUACAGCAGGGAAGGAUUAAGUAAUAGCCUAAUGCAUUGUCGGUAAGUACAAUGAGGAAGUAGACUAAAUAUUUUGGCAUUAAUGCUGAAGAAAAACAAAACUACUUUGAUAAGGAAAUGCACUUUAACCCCCAGAGUGUCAACACAACUUCUGGAGGUCUUGGACAAUCCAUCAGAAUUAGGUUACUGUGUAAUGCUGGAGAUCUGCUAACUUCAUCCAGAUUGGUUGAGACUAAAAAUAGCCUAGACAUGAGGUUCACAGAGAUGUUCUAUCAGUGAUCCAUUGUGAUCAUAGCAUAAUAUGUAGGCUAUAAUGCAGCUAACUUGGGUCGGAAGUAUCCUUCUUCAAGGUGGAAGCUAUUUGCAUUGUACAGGAAUGACUGAUCUGUAAAAGAUCAAGACUACAGCAUGAAGUCUUGCAAGAACACAACUUCCCAGCAAAUACCAAAAUGUGCCCUGCUCUGAAGCCAUCUAGCCUACAUAUUUUCAGUCCAAACAUCCCAGCUAGCUCCUCCUUCAGAACCUGUUUCCCUUGACAUGUGAGACUGAGACUAGCGCCACCAUUUUGAUUGCCUCCUAGCCCACAGCCCACAGUUGUCACAGAGUGUAUAGUUCAGUCUCCUUGUCAGCAAGAUUUCACCGUGGCCACAGUGAGUGAGUCUGCAGGAGAGUAAGGCACACAUUGCCUUCUCUUGACUGAGUGAAUGACAUACGGUACACACCAGUUAAACUGAGGUUGAGAACUACAUGUACUGUACAUGCUGAGAACAUAAGUACAUAAAUAACAAAUCGAUUAACAAACA
Molecule: long non-coding RNA, 3688 nt
Filed under: Salmo salar (Atlantic salmon)
Lineage: Eukaryota; Metazoa; Chordata; Actinopteri; Salmoniformes; Salmonidae
Description: lncRNA (ENSSSAG00000119861.1)
Source: RNAcentral